This 117-nucleotide ribosomal RNA is filed under the name Dermocybe malicoria. RNAcentral describes it as "partial 28S ribosomal RNA". It matches the Rfam family "Eukaryotic large subunit ribosomal RNA", at positions 1 to 119 of the family's 3401-position model. The record is from RNAcentral. Lineage: Eukaryota; Fungi; Basidiomycota; Agaricomycetes; Agaricales; Cortinariaceae.
GUGACCUCAAAUCAGGUAGGACUACCCGCUGAACUUAAGCAUAUCAAUAAGCGGAGGAAAAGAACUAACAGGAUCCCCUAGUAACUGCGAGUGAAGCGGGAAAAGCUCAAAUUUAAA